This 4331-nucleotide long non-coding RNA is filed under the name Bemisia tabaci. Its description in RNAcentral is "lncRNA ENSSSA1NGG014634". The record is from RNAcentral. Lineage: Eukaryota; Metazoa; Arthropoda; Insecta; Hemiptera; Aleyrodidae.
AAACUCGAGCACCGAAAAAUUUCAGAAAUCACGAUCGCUGGAAAAGAAUAGGAAAGAAUCAUAAGAAUUGUGUCAGAUCAGCGAUUUGAGUUGUGUACCAGAACCAUAACCUCAAAAUAUCAUACCUGCACCGUAAACAACACCACGUUGCCAAAAUUGCUUUGUUUAUGUUGUCAAAGGCAAUCUUGAAAGGAUCCUAAAGGGCUCGAGCCGUUGGAUCCUUUGAAGUUUAUGAAUAUUUGCCAAAAAAAUAAUUAGCUCUAGUUCUACAGAGGUAAUUUUAUGUCAAGUUUUUAUGUAAGUGAUAAAAUACUAUUUUGUUUGUUAACUUGGCAAAGCUCUCCACCAGUUUCUGUUGAACGCCGAAAGCCGCUAAUCGAUGAGUUGUUUCCAUCAUCUCCCGAGCGGCCGUCGGGCUAGUGUUGGGGAUAUUUUCAAGAAUACCGAUAUUUCAAACGAUACGAUAUUUCUGAAAAUAUCGAAUUUUGGGUCGAUACGAUAUUUCUGAAAAUAUCGAAUUUUUGGGUCGAUACGAUAUUCAAAAUAUCGAUAUUCUAAAAUAUCGGUACGAAAAUAUCGUAUGUAUGUACAUUUCUUCGCUUGAUGUCGCUCGCGCCCAACAUCUGUAUUUUCGAUACGAUAUUCGCGGAAAAUAUCGAUAUCGACAAAAUAUCGUCAGGAAAAUAUCGAUACGAUAUUUCGACCGAUAUUUAGAAAAAUAUCGAUAUUCUGAAAAUAUCGAUAUAAUAUCCCCAACACUACCGUCGGCCAUUCUUCACGGAAAGAUUGUGAAUCCAUCGAGAUGGCAGAUGUAGAGAAGGCUGCAAAGGCUAAAAAGGCAGCCAAAAAGCCUAAAGCUGACAAGCCGAAAAAAGGUUCAGAUGCACCAAGGAAACCACGUCCUGUGGCUAAAAACAGGCCACCGAAGAAGCCGCUAGUAUUGGCGCCACCUCCCAAGGCCCCAAAGAAAGUCAAAGCUGUGAAACCAAGGCUCCCUGGCUCUGAGUUCAAGAGGCAGCAAAAGGUGAAGGCUCAGAGGAGAAGAGAAGAAGCGUCUAGAUGCCAGACUCAAGAAGUCAAGUCAAAGAAGGCGAGGUUAAAGAAAACCGUCUUCCAGCUUAAAAGCAAAAACGCCUUGCCGAAAGGGAAGAAGAGGCGUCAUCAAGAGAAAGCCAAGUACAGAGCAGCCGUUGAGCUUGCUGUUGGAAAGACCUUGAACCCACGACUAACGGAAAUCCUCAAGACUUCUCUGUUCAAAAUUCAAGACAAGAAGUUCGAAAAGGAAUAACUAAGGACGUGAAAGAUCUGUAAGUUCAGUUAGUCUCUUAUUUAAUUUCUGCAAGCAUGUGUUACUCAUAUGAUGGCUAGUUUCAAAUGAAGGAGACUGUAUUUCCUUUCAGAAUCAUUUCAAACAGUACCGCUCCUUUUCUUCCGGACUAUCUACGUUUUACUCUAUUUUUACAUCAUGUUUUUGGUUGAAUCAUAAAGGACAUUGCUUUCAACACCGAGGAAUUCGUCCCUGGCUAAAUUUCGAGAUUUUUUUUGUAUAAUGCUCCUUACAGUCUCCUGAGCUUGACAAGCUUUUAAUAAAGAACUUUCUAUUUGCUAGACUCAAGAAAAUCAGGCCUAUCAAGCGCAUUUUGUGGCAAUUCAACAUGUGUUAAAUCUACGUUUUACUCUAUUUUUACAUCAUGUUUUUGGUUGAAUCAUAAAGGACAUUGCUUUCAACACCAAGAAUUCGUCACCGGCUAAAUUUCGAGAUUUUUUUAUAUAAUGCUCCUCUCAGUCUCCUGAGCUUGACAAGCUUUUAAUAUUGAACUUUCUAUGUGCUAGACUCAAGAAAAUCAGGCCUAUCAAGCGCAUUUUGUGGCAAUUCAACAUGUCGACGGUGAAACUACCAGACCACGUACCUCGUUUGUGGUGUUUAAAAAUCUCCACUCACAUUUUAUUUUUUUGAAGGAGAUCAAAUCAAUAUCAUAUCUCACAAUUUUCACAUAUUUUUCUCCGCACAAAGAGGAAAAAUCACGGAAGUUUUCACGAAUUGACGUUGAGUAGUUUUCUAUUUAAAAAAUAAAGUAUGACAGGAAGUCUGCAACGUCGCAAACCGAGAUACGUGGUUUGGUAGUUUCACCGUCAAUGUGUUAUCAUACAGAGAAGUUGCUCAGUUGCUGAGUCGAAGAUGCGGGAUCUUUUGUCCUAAACCGAGUUGAUACCCUGUCUUAUCUUCCUGGCUGGCGUGGGACAGGGAAAGAGGAUCUUGCCUAUAUCAUUGACCUUUUUCUUCUUGAUAAUGCAUUUCUACCUGCUGAAAAAUGCAUUUUUCUAACCAGAUUCCUUUUUUUUCUUUUUUCUGAAAGUUUUGUUUUGAAAGUUGGUUUUACUCAGAGAUCGGAAGGAACAUCACCUAAAAUAAUAUUUUAAUCUUCAAUUGAGCCAGUGCCAAACUUUUUUGUAUCGCAUGCAAUGUCCUUUGGAAUGGUUUCCAACCUGUAUGUUCUUUAUUUUCUCUCUCUCUCUCUUUCUAACUCAAAGCAUCUUACUCCUAACCUCCAAGUGGCUGUCUAGUAGAUAAACAGAAAUUUCUCGGUGAGCUGAGCUCAAGAUAUUUUUGACUUCAAUAGAACAGAAAACUAAUAAACUUAAAUCUAAAGAAAGAGAAUUUACUUACGCCUAGUCUUCUGUAUUGAGGAGAGACCCUCUUGUAUGCAGUCCUCUGAAACCUCAAGUUGGCCAGAUGGUGGAUCAGUUUUUUACUUCCUGUUUGUAAGAAUGGCUGACAAAUUCUUUCACCCUGAAUUGAGGAUUAGUGUCUUCAGAAACUUGUUGAAUAAACGGUGGUCAAAUUUUAAAGAAAAUUUAGGGUGAUGACAAGAAACAAAAAUAUUUACUUCACUUGAAACUAACUUGGCUCUGGCAGCUUUUCAUUGAGUGAUUAGUGAAGCUUAUCUAACUAUCAUUUAUCUGAUGCAAGCCCCCUCCAAGAUCCUGUUGAGCUGAUGAUUAUAAUUUGAUCAUUAUCUGUCCAUAUCCAGCAUUAUUUACUUCUUCUUCUUCUUAUCUUAACGGAUUUUCUAUUACCUAUAGUUUUUAUUCCUUGCAAAGAGUAUUCAUUACUCUUGUUGUACUGCAUGGAUAGAUUCAGUUGGAAUCUGCACUAAACUGCAAUUCUCAUUGCCCAAUUUACUCUCAUAUCUUUUAAUUUUUUUUUCUAUUUAUUAUUUUAAAUUGAACCAAAGUAUCCAACUCAUUCACACUUGCCGUGAGUUUACCCUAGAUUUUGAAGAAUACACUCGAAAAAUUUCAGGUUUAGUGUUGCCUAGUUUUAUAUCUGAAUAAUAAAACAUCAGGAAAAGCAACAGUUGAUUCCAGUCUAGUUUUUCCACGGCUCGACCUGGGAAAUUUCGUGUUUGUCUGAUGGAUGAGACAAGAAUAAAAGGGAAUGAAGAUUUAUGAUCGGUGGGCUAUCUUGUUUGUUCGACUGAUAUCCGUUACAAGCUCCUUAUCCGGCCAACCAAUUGCUCAGUGAUAGGCACCUCCUUGGUAGCUGCCGAGUGGACCAUUUUGCUCGACGAGGAUCUUGCAUCUCGAUCUCAGUGGACGGAAGAAGAUAGCCCACUAAUCUCUGUCGCAUCUACAGGCCUAACACUAUAUUAUGAUGAUCGGCCCGCAGUCUGAAAGAAUGUCUUAAAAUCAGAGGAAAGAAAUCCGUGCAAAUGGCUGUAAAUUGAAGAAAAUACUGGAUUAUUUUAAAGGCACCGCAACACUUUCAAUGAUAGGUUGAGCAGGGUUGCCGCAGUCAGGGAAUUCAGGGAAAACCUGGAAAAGUCAGGGGAAAAAAAGUGCUCUGGAAAACCUGGAAAAGUCAGGGAAUUUGACCAAAAACAGCUAGAAGUCAGGGAAAAAUUGACAAUUUUCACGAGUUGCUUAAAGCAUCAAAAUUAAAAGAAAAAGUUAAAAACCCUUUUUGUAUUUCCUAAUGUUCUACAAUUAAUUUCUGACUCCUUAGCUUAAGCGCGUUUCAAAUGAGACGCUAUAUUAGUGCGAUGGUAGCUAGCAAGGUGUAAAUUUGGCUGUGCGAUCAUGGCGCACGUUCUCAAAGGUCAGGGAAUUUCUCCAUUUUUCCAAAUUUUUGUGGCAACCCUGGUUGAGGUUUUCCAAAAUUUCUUUAUUUUGUAGUUCUUUUCUCGUUCGUUUAUUUUGCACUUAAUCUUAAUCUGUUUCUCUCAGUUGGAAAAGAGGAGUCCUCAAUACAAAUUGUACAAGUCCAAGAAAGGCAAAGUCCAUAAGGUCUGGCUUCAAAAAACAAAGAAGGUCUUCAACAUCUACAACAG